This 443-nucleotide ribosomal RNA is filed under the name uncultured bacterium. Its description in RNAcentral is "partial 16S ribosomal RNA". It matches the Rfam family "Bacterial small subunit ribosomal RNA", at positions 338 to 795 of the family's 1533-position model. The record is from RNAcentral.
CCUACGGGGUGCUGCAGUGGGGAAUAUUGGGCAAUGGGCGCAAGCCUGACCCAGCAACGCCGCGUGAAGGAAGAAGGCUUUCGGGUUGUAAACUUCUUUUCUCAGGGACGAAGAAAGUGACGGUACCUUAGGAAUAAGCCACGGCUAACUACGUGCCAGCAGCCCCGGUAAUACGUAGGUGGCAAUCGUUAUCCGGACUUACUGGGUGUAAAGGGCGUGUAGGCGGGACUGCAAGUCAGAUGUGAAAACCACGGGCUCAACCUGUGGCCUGCAUUUGAAACUGUAGUUCGUGAGUACUGGAGAGGCAGACGGAAUUCCGAGUGUAGCGGUGAAAUGCGUAGAUAGUAGGAGGAACACCAGUGGCGAAGGCGGUCUGAUGGACAGCAACUGACGCUGAGGCGCGAAAGCGUGGGGAGCAAACAGGAUUAGAUACCCCAGUAGUC